GGUCAAGUUAUUAAGGGUGCAGGGCGGAUGCCUUGGCACUAGGAGCCGAUGAAGGACGUGAUAAGCUGCGAUAAGCUUCGGGGAGUUGCACGUAAACUUUGAUCCGAAGAUUUCCGAAUGAGGAAACUCACUUAGAGUAAUGUCUAAGUAUCAUUAAGUGAAUACAUAGCUUAAUGAGGGGAACUCAGGGAACUGAAACAUCUAAGUACCUGAAGGAAGAGAAAGAAAUUCGAUUCCGUAAGUAGCGGCGAGCGAACGCGGAUUAGCCCAAACCAAUAAAGUUUUCUUUAUUGGGGUUGCGGACAUAUCAUAACGAAGAGGUAUCGUAAUUGAAGAGGUUUGGAAAGACCCACCACAGAAGGUAAUAGUCCUGUAUGUUAAACGAGAAGACUUCAGAUAUGAUCCAGAGUACCACGGGACACGUGAAACCCUGUGGGAAGCAGGAGGGACCACCCUCCAAGGCUAAAUACUACCUAGUGACCGAUAGCGUAUAGUACCGUGAGGGAAAGGUGAAAAGAACCCCGGGAGGGGAGUGAAAUAGAACCUGAAACCCUGCACUUACAAGCUGUGGAAGCACAUUUCUUGUGUGACCGCGUACUUUUUGUAGAACGGGCCAACGAGUUACGUUAAGUAGCAAGGUUAAGCACUUAAGGUGCGGAGCCGUAGCGAAAGCGAGUUUUAACUGAGCGUUCAGUUACUUGACGUAGACCCGAAACCGGGCGACCUACCCAUGAGCAGGAUGAAGCGAAAGUAAAAUUUCGUGGAGGUCCGAACCCACGAGCGUUGAAAAGCUCGGGGAUGACUUGUGGGUAGCGGUGAAAUUCCAAUCGAGCCCGGAGAUAGCUGGUUCUCCCCGAAAUAGCUUUAGGGCUAGCCUCAAGGUGAGAGAUACGGAGGUAGAGCACUGAAUGUCCUAGGGGGUAUUGCACCUACCGAAGACUAUCAAACUCCGAAUGCCGUCAUCUUAUACUUGGGAGUCAGACUGUGGGUGAUAAGAUUCAUAGUCGAAAGGGCAACAGCCCAGAUCGUCAGCUAAGGUCCCUAAAUGUAAGUUAAGUGGUAAAGGAUGUGGGAUUGCACAGACAACCAGGAUGUUGGCUUAGAAGCAGCCACUCAUUCAAAGAGUGCGUAAUAGCUCACUGGUCGAGUGAUCCUGCGCCGAAGAUUUCCGGGGCUAAAACUUACUACCGAAGCUACGGCAUCAGUAAUGAUGGGUAGGGGAGCUUCCCAUACGGGUUGAAGCAUGACCGUAAGGACAUGUGGACAGUAUGGGAGUGAGAAUGUUGGCAUGAGUAGCGAGAUGUGGGUGAGAAUCCCACAGGCCGUAAACCCAAGGUUUCCAGGGGAAGGUUCGUCCGCCCUGGGUUAGUCGGGACCUAAGCUGAGGCCGAAAGGCGUAGGUGAUGGACAACAGGUUGAUAUUCCUGUACUACCGAUAACC
RNAcentral lists this ribosomal RNA (1441 nucleotides) under Clostridioides difficile. RNAcentral describes it as "partial 23S ribosomal RNA". It matches the Rfam family "Bacterial large subunit ribosomal RNA", at positions 1 to 1455 of the family's 2925-position model. The record is from RNAcentral. Lineage: Bacteria; Bacillati; Bacillota; Clostridia; Peptostreptococcales; Peptostreptococcaceae.